This 76-nucleotide transfer RNA is filed under the name Bacillota bacterium. RNAcentral describes it as "tRNA-Trp". It matches the Rfam family "tRNA". Rfam says of the family: Transfer RNA (tRNA) molecules are approximately 80 nucleotides in length. Their secondary structure includes four short double-helical elements and three loops (D, anti-codon, and T loops). Further hydrogen bonds mediate the characteristic L-shaped molecular structure. tRNAs have two regions of fundamental functional importance: the anti-codon, which is responsible for specific mRNA codon recognition, and the 3' end, to which the tRNAs corresponding amino acid is attached (by aminoacyl-tRNA synthetases). tRNAs cope with the degeneracy of the genetic code in two manners: having more than one tRNA (with a specific anti-codon) for a particular amino acid; and 'wobble' base-pairing, i.e. permitting non-standard base-pairing at the 3rd anti-codon position. Lineage: Bacteria; Bacillati; Bacillota. The record is from RNAcentral. RNAcentral also lists the same sequence under 4 other names.
GGGGGAAUAGUUCAGUCAGGUAGAACAGCGGUCUCCAAAACCGUCAACGAGGGUUCAAAUCCUUCUUCCCCCGCCA